CAGAUAUCUAUCUGCCUUCCUUCAUUGCCCCUGUUUAACAAAUGGGAAAAGUGGAACAGAGGAGGGGCUCCAGAUUUCACCAGGGUCCAGUAGUGGCACAAACAACCUGGACUGACUAAGCAUGGUAUUUCCCUCUCUGCUCCAGAAAGUGGCCCAUCAUACAUCACUGAGCUUGUGUAUGUGCAUAGGAGAGAGACAAACAGAGACAAAAACAGAGAAGCAAAGAGAAAGAAAAAAGUGAGAGAG
Vombatus ursinus (common wombat) is the source of this 246-nucleotide long non-coding RNA. RefSeq lists it as uncharacterized. The record is from RefSeq and is a predicted model, not a curated record. NCBI's taxonomy places the organism in Eukaryota, Metazoa, Chordata, Mammalia, Diprotodontia, Vombatidae. The transcript is spliced from 3 exons.